GUUAUCUCAUUAUAGUUUUUUAAGAAGUUCUUAUCUGAUACAGAGAAGAUUAGCAUGGCUCCUGCGCAAGGAUGACACGCAAAUUCGUGAAGCAUUCCAUAUAAUU
Small nuclear RNA from Ailuropoda melanoleuca (giant panda), 106 nucleotides. NCBI's taxonomy places the organism in Eukaryota, Metazoa, Chordata, Mammalia, Carnivora, Ursidae. The record is from Ensembl.